This is a long non-coding RNA of Selaginella moellendorffii, 541 nucleotides long. RefSeq lists it as uncharacterized. The transcript has 2 exons. The record is from RefSeq and is a predicted model, not a curated record. NCBI's taxonomy places the organism in Eukaryota, Viridiplantae, Streptophyta, Lycopodiopsida, Selaginellales, Selaginellaceae.
GGCACCGUUCUGGACAGCAGAACGACAUACACAUACUUCCUUGGAGCUGCGUUUCAGGCUUUUAAAAGUGUAGUAAGUGCGAGAGAGCCACCACAGCUCCGGUGGUCAUUGGCUCCAAGCGAGGCAAGACAGGCAUGUGACAUGUGUCACCAGUGGUGUCCUGCCCCUGUGCCCGUUCUUUUUAGCUCGCCCUAGAUGCCCUGCCGCAAUUGAACUAACACUUGCUUGGAUCAGUGGCAAUCGCAGCAAUUGUGCUUUUUUCUGCAGAGGUCUGUGUUCAGCGUCAGGCCGGCAGCCACUAAUUUGGCCCCCAACCCCAACAAUCUGGAUUUUUGUGUGCUGUGAAAAUUUGAGACGUCUUCAUUUGGGUUUGUGGAUGCUAUCCAGUGGCAGAGCUAGCCUUCACGGCCAAAACCAUUAGCCCUGUCCUUUUGCGAGAGAGAACAAGCCCAAGAUUAAGGUGUGUACAGAUUGUGCUCUCAUUGUAUAGUCUUUUUUUUUUUUCCAGUGUAAGAAUGUGAGUUCAGGCUUUUACUUAGAA